UACGAAGGGUGCAAACGUUGCUCGGAAUCAUUGGGCGUAAAGCGCACGUAGGCGGCUUCGCAAGUCGGAUGUGAAAUCCCUCGGCUCAACCGAGGACGUGCAUACGAAACUGCGGAGCUUGAGUGCUGAAGAGGAUCGCGGAAUUCCCGGUGUAGAGGUGAAAUUCGUAGAUAUCGGGAGGAACACCAGUGGCGAAGGCGGCGAUCUGGGCAGACACUGACGCUGAGGUGCGAGAGCGUGGGGAGCAAACAGG
RNAcentral lists this ribosomal RNA (253 nucleotides) under uncultured bacterium. RNAcentral describes it as "partial 16S ribosomal RNA". It matches the Rfam family "Bacterial small subunit ribosomal RNA", at positions 524 to 776 of the family's 1533-position model. The record is from RNAcentral.